Molecule: ribosomal RNA, 440 nt
Filed under: uncultured bacterium
Lineage: Bacteria
Description: partial 16S ribosomal RNA
Rfam family: Bacterial small subunit ribosomal RNA
Source: RNAcentral
CCUACGGGUGGCAGCAGUGGGGGAUAUUGCACAAUGGGGGAAACCCUGAUGCAGCGACGCCGCGUGAGUGAAGAAGUAUUUCGGUCUGUAAAGCUCUAUCAGCAGGGAAGAAAAUGACAGUACCUGACCAAGAAGCCCCGGCUAACUACGUGCCAGCAGCCGCGGUAAUACGUAGGGGGCAAGCGUUAUCCGGAUUUACUGGGUGUAAAGGGGGCGUAGACGGUUAUGUAAGUCUGGAGUGAAAGCCCGGGGCCCAACCCCGGGACUGCUUUGGAAACUGUGUAACUGGAGUACAGGAGGGGCAGGCGGAAUUCCUGGGGUAGCGGUGAAAUGCGUAGAUAUCAGGAGGAACACCGGCGGCGAAGGCGGCCUGCUGGACUGAAACUGACGUUGAGGCUCGAAAGCGUGGGGAGCAAACAGGAUUAGAUACCCUUGUAGUC